GGGGAUGUAGCUCAGUGGCAUAGCAUAUGCUUCGCAUGUAUGGGGACCUGGGUUCACACCCCGGCAUCUCCA
This 72-nucleotide transfer RNA is filed under the name Oryzias latipes (Japanese medaka). It matches the Rfam family "tRNA". Rfam says of the family: Transfer RNA (tRNA) molecules are approximately 80 nucleotides in length. Their secondary structure includes four short double-helical elements and three loops (D, anti-codon, and T loops). Further hydrogen bonds mediate the characteristic L-shaped molecular structure. tRNAs have two regions of fundamental functional importance: the anti-codon, which is responsible for specific mRNA codon recognition, and the 3' end, to which the tRNAs corresponding amino acid is attached (by aminoacyl-tRNA synthetases). tRNAs cope with the degeneracy of the genetic code in two manners: having more than one tRNA (with a specific anti-codon) for a particular amino acid; and 'wobble' base-pairing, i.e. permitting non-standard base-pairing at the 3rd anti-codon position. Lineage: Eukaryota; Metazoa; Chordata; Actinopteri; Beloniformes; Adrianichthyidae. The record is from Rfam by way of RNAcentral.